RNAcentral lists this ribosomal RNA (468 nucleotides) under uncultured bacterium. RNAcentral describes it as "partial 16S ribosomal RNA". It matches the Rfam family "Bacterial small subunit ribosomal RNA", at positions 28 to 507 of the family's 1533-position model. The record is from RNAcentral.
GACGAACGCUGGCGGCGUGCUUAACACAUGCAAGUCGAACGGAAAGGCCCUGCUUUUGUGGGGUGCUCGAGUGGCGAACGGGUGAGUAACACGUGAGUAACCUGCCCUUGACUUUGGGAUAACUUCAGGAAACUGGGGCUAAUACCGGAUAGGAGCUCCUGCUGCAUGGUGGGGGUUGGAAAGUUUCGGCGGUUGGGGAUGGACUCGCGGCUUAUCAGCUUGUUGGUGGGGUAGUGGCUUACCAAGGCUUUGACGGGUAGCCGGCCUGAGAGGGUGACCGGCCACAUUGGGACUGAGAUACGGCCCAGACUCCUACGGGAGGCAGCAGUGGGGAAUAUUGUACAAUGGGCGGAAGCCUGAUGCAGCAACGCCGCGUGCGGGAUGACGUCCUUCGGGUUGUAAACCGCUUUCGCCUGUGACGAAGCGUGAGUGACGGUAAUGGGUAAAGAAGCACCGGCUAACUACGUG